RNAcentral lists this ribosomal RNA (371 nucleotides) under uncultured organism. RNAcentral describes it as "bacterial SSU rRNA". It matches the Rfam family "Bacterial small subunit ribosomal RNA", at positions 526 to 896 of the family's 1533-position model. The record is from RNAcentral.
CGUAGGUGGCAAGCGUUGUCCGGAUUUACUGCGCGUAAAGGGCGUGCAGGCGGUUUGUUAAGUCUAGGGUGAAAGCUCCCGGCUCAACUGGGAGAGGUCCUUGGAUACUGGCAGACUUGAGGAGAGUAGAGGAGAGUGGAAUUCCCGGUGUAGUGGUGAUAUGCGUAGAUAUCGGGAGGAACACCAGUGGCGAAGGCGGCUCUCUGGGCUCUACCUGACGCUGAGACGCGAAAGCGUGGGGAGCGAACCGGAUUAGAUACCCGGGUAGUCCACGCCGUAAACUAUGGACACUAGGUGUGGGGGGUAUCGACCCCUCCGUGCCGAAGCCAACGCAGUAAGUGUCCCGCCUGGGGAGUACGGCCGCAAGGCUA